AAAGAGCAGGCUGCCGUGCUUGGUGUCCUAUGCCAGGACAGCCAGCAGUAUUCCAGGUGCUCCGUCAGUGUGGGGCUGGAAUGGAGGAUUGUGAGACUCCAUGGAACCUACAGUGAAAGACUGCAGCAUGACCCAAAACUCAGACUAGGAAAUGCAUGAUGGAAAUGGGAGGGUCUUUGGUGAAAGGAGACAAUCUAGCUUAUUAUCAUGGCUACUUUUCUCGUAGCUGAGACACAGUGCCCUACCCGCAGCUCUGAAGAGGAGAGGUUGAUUUGGGCUCACAGUCUGUAGAGGUUUCAGUCCAUAAGCUGCUAGGUCUAAAGGCGGGGCAGCCUGGCAGAGGUAACAGAGCUCCUGGCCUGGUGGUGGCAAGCAGAGAUCAAGGGAAGAGGAAGGGCGAUAGACACCCGGUCCCCAGCGGCCACCUCCUCCAGCCAGGCUUCACCUCCCAACUCCUGAGGAGACUCAUCCACUGGUUGUCCCUAGAGGCUUCAGAAGCAGCAUGGGCUGUUGACACCUUGAUUUCAGAUUUCAAGCUCCAAAAUUCUGAGCCGAUACAACUCUGCAGUUUGGAACAGUGCAUAACAUGUGGCAACUAAUGGAGUCGAGGAGAUUGCACACGGGAGACAGUCUAGGUCACGGUCACAGUCAUGAACAACUCUGACCUCGCCAGGGACCGAGGGCUGCCUUGGCAGUACAUAUUCCAGUGAAAAAAGUGGAAGAUACCUUCUCUUCCUCUGAGAUGUCUCCCAGAGAGUGCGAAGCUGAACUUGGCUCCCAUCUCCUCUUUGAAAUGUAUCUUCAAACAGGAAACUCCUUGGGUCCUCCACACCCUAAAAAAGGUAUUCUGUGACCUUCUAUACCCACAUCAGACUCACCUAUGUUCUGGAAGACAAUAAACAAUGUUUACACAUAAAUAAAUCAAUAAAUUACAAAACUAUGCCUUUAACAGUCUAUCCCUUCUUUGAAAAAUGUACCAAAAAAGGCAGCUCUGGCUGUCAGAGGGGCAGCUUUCCAUACUGUUGUACAGAAUACACUAGUACCUGUAGUGACAGCUCUCCCAACCACCAGAUUCAUCUUUCCUGACA
This is a long non-coding RNA of Cavia porcellus (domestic guinea pig), 1088 nucleotides long. RefSeq lists it as uncharacterized. The record is from RefSeq and is a predicted model, not a curated record. The transcript has 3 exons. NCBI's taxonomy places the organism in Eukaryota, Metazoa, Chordata, Mammalia, Rodentia, Caviidae.